GCCGCUGUAGCCCAGUUGGUAGAGGCGUGGCCAGUACAAAUGGCGAAGGUCGCUGGUUCAAAUCCAGCCCGCGGUG
Phthorimaea operculella (potato tuberworm) is the source of this 76-nucleotide non-coding RNA. The record is from the annotation of a GenBank genome assembly. NCBI's taxonomy places the organism in Eukaryota, Metazoa, Arthropoda, Insecta, Lepidoptera, Gelechiidae.